GUGAAUCAUCAAAUUUUUGAACGCAAAUUGCACUCUCUGGUAUUCCGGAAAGUAUGUCUGUUUGAGGGUCAGUUAAAUAGAAAUCGGUGUUGUUGCUGCCUUUCGUGGUGACGCGUCGGGAUUAGGUCGUCUUAUCUUCGGUUAAGUGACUUAAAAUUUUUGCAUGAUUUUAGAACGUAUUUUAAUAGCUUACGUAUGUUUGAGUUAUGGAAUGCUU
Molecule: unclassified non-coding RNA, 217 nt
Filed under: Glomeraceae sp.
Lineage: Eukaryota; Fungi; Glomeromycota; Glomeromycetes; Glomerales; Glomeraceae
Description: partial contains 5.8S ribosomal RNA and internal transcribed spacer 2
Rfam family: 5.8S ribosomal RNA (bases 1-71)
Source: RNAcentral